UAGUCAAUGCUCGCAAGAGUGAACUAGCUAACUGAAAUCCUUGGUGUGUCCUCAAGGAUAACGUAAGGGAAAAUAAUGAUAUUACCUUACUAUUAGUGUCGUCCAAGUGCUCGUGCCAGAAGACUCGGUAAGGCGAGAGACGCAAACGUUAUUCGUCUUGAUCAGGCGUAAAGGGUAUGUAGGCGGUUUUAAGUAUUCACAAAUAAAGUUUAUAAUUAUUAUAAUACUAACAAAACAAAAAAGUGUUAUAAUUUUAAAAACAGAAUCAAUUAAAGCUAGAAUCUAAGAGAGGUUAAAACAAUACUUAUGGUAGGUGUACCAACCUAAGAUAAUAAGUAGAGUUUUAAGGGCGAAGGCAUUUACCCACUAAAGAUUGACGCUGAGAAACGAAGGUGAGGAAAGAAAAAAGGAUUAGAGACCCUUGUAUCCCUCACUGUCAACGAUGAAUGGUAGUUACUAGUAAGAAAUAAACUAGAGGCGAUGUUAACACGUAAACCAUUCCGCCUUGUGAGUACGACUGCAAAGUUGAAAACAAAAAAAUUAGUCGGUUUCGGAGCAAACGAAGUGAAGCAUGUUAUUU
RNAcentral lists this ribosomal RNA (580 nucleotides) under Fomitiporia rhamnoides. RNAcentral's name for it is "partial small subunit ribosomal RNA". It matches the Rfam family "Bacterial small subunit ribosomal RNA", at positions 365 to 947 of the family's 1533-position model. The record is from RNAcentral. Lineage: Eukaryota; Fungi; Basidiomycota; Agaricomycetes; Hymenochaetales; Hymenochaetaceae.